CCUACGGGAGGCAGCAGUGAGGAAUAUUGGUCAAUGGUCGGGAGCCUGAACCAGCCAAGUCGCGUGAGGGAGGAAGGUUCUGUGGAUCGUAAACCUCUUUUAUCAGGGAAUAAAGUGCGGGACGUGUCCCGUUUUGUGUGUACCUUAUGAAUAAGGAUCGGCUAACUCCGUGCCAGCAGCCGCGGUAAUACGGAGGAUCCGAGCGUUAUCCGGAUUUAUUGGGUUUAAAGGGUGCGUAGGCGGGCUGUUAAGUCAGCGGUGAAAGGCUGGGGCUCAACCACAGCAUUGCCGUUGAAACUGGGAGGCUCGAGUGGGAGAGAGGCAGGCGGAAUGCGCGGUGUAGCGGUGAAAUGCUUAGAUAUCGCGCAGAACUCCGAUUGCGAAGGCAGCAUGCCAGGUCAUGACUGACGCUGAGGCACGAAAGCGUGGGGAUCAAACAGGAUUAGAUACCCGGGUAGUC
RNAcentral lists this ribosomal RNA (460 nucleotides) under uncultured bacterium. Its description in RNAcentral is "partial 16S ribosomal RNA". It matches the Rfam family "Bacterial small subunit ribosomal RNA", at positions 338 to 795 of the family's 1533-position model. The record is from RNAcentral.